UCCCUGGUGAUCCAGUGGCUAAGAUUCCACGUUCUGAAUGCGGGGGUCUUGGGUUUGAUCCCUGGCCAGGGAA
RNAcentral lists this transfer RNA (73 nucleotides) under Ovis aries (sheep). The record is from Rfam by way of RNAcentral. Lineage: Eukaryota; Metazoa; Chordata; Mammalia; Artiodactyla; Bovidae.